UACGUAGGUGGCAAGCGUUAUCCGGAAUUAUUGGGCGUAAAACGCGCCCAGACGGUCUCUUAAGUCUUAUGUGAAAGCCCCCGGCUCAACCGGGGAGGGUCAUUGGAAACUGGGAGACUUGAGUGCAGAAGAGGAGAGUGGAAUUCCACGUGUAGCGGUGAAAUGCGUAGAGAUGUGGAGGAACACCAGUGGCGAAGGCGGCUCUCUGGCCUGUAACUGACGCUGAGGCGCGAAAGCGUGGGGAGCAAACAGG
RNAcentral lists this unclassified non-coding RNA (253 nucleotides) under uncultured Bacillaceae bacterium. RNAcentral's name for it is "contains 16S-23S intergenic spacer region". It matches the Rfam family "Bacterial small subunit ribosomal RNA", at positions 524 to 776 of the family's 1533-position model. The record is from RNAcentral. Lineage: Bacteria; Bacillati; Bacillota; Bacilli; Caryophanales; Bacillaceae.